RNAcentral lists this ribosomal RNA (437 nucleotides) under uncultured bacterium. Its description in RNAcentral is "bacterial SSU rRNA". It matches the Rfam family "Bacterial small subunit ribosomal RNA", at positions 775 to 1204 of the family's 1533-position model. The record is from RNAcentral.
AGAAAAUAGAUACCCAGGUAGUCCUAGCCCUAAACGAUGAAUACUUGGUGUCUGGAGUUUUUAUUCUCCGGGUGCCGUCGCUAAACGUUUUUAAGUAUUCCGCCUGGGGAGUACGCACGCAAGUGUGAAACUCAAAGGAAUUGACGGGGGACCCCGCACAAGCGGUGGAGCAUGUGGUUUAAUUCGACGCAACGCGAAGAACCUUACCUGGACUAGAAUGCGAGGGAAGCUUGGGUAACGCCAAGCGUCCGGGCAACCGGACCCGAAGCAAGGUGCUGCAUGGCUGUCGUCAGCUCGUGUCGUGAGAUGUUGGGUUAAGCCCCGCAACGAGCGCAACCCCUAUUGAUAAUUGCUAACAGGUUAUGCUGAGAACUUUAUCAAGACUGCUGUUGAUAAACGGAGAAGGUGGGGAUGACGUCAAGUCAUCAUGGCCUUUA